Molecule: ribosomal RNA, 231 nt
Filed under: Eutreptiella gymnastica
Lineage: Eukaryota; Euglenozoa; Euglenophyceae; Eutreptiales; Eutreptiaceae
Description: partial Bacterial small subunit ribosomal RNA
Source: RNAcentral
UUGGAAAACAAAAACUGAAUCUGGGCUCGAACUUCAUGUAAACGAGUUGCAGUUUACGAUCCGAACUAAGACUAGGUUUUAGAGAUGAGCGUGCUUUCACAAGUUAGCGACUCUCUGUCUAAUCAUUGUAGUAGGUGUGUCCCAGAACAUAACAGGCAUGUUCACUUGACGUUGUCCUCACAUUCCUCCGAUUUAUCAUUGGCAUUCUCUUUAGAGAAUCGAAAAACACAA